GCGGGAAUUUUGGGCAAUGGGGGAAACCCUGACCCAGCAACGCCGCGUGAAGGAUGAAGUAUUUCGGUAUGUAAACUUCGAAAGAAUAGGAAGAAUAAAUGACGGUACUAUUUAUAAGGUCCGGCUAACUACGUGCCAGCAGCCGCGGUAAUACGUAGGGACCAAGCGUUGUUCGGAUUUACUGGGCGUAAAGGGCGCGUAGGCGGCAUGACAAGUCACUUGUGAAAUCUCUGGGCUUAACCCAGAACGGCCAAGUGAUACUGUCGCGCUAGAGUGCAGAAGGGGCAAUCGGAAUUCUUGGUGUAGCGGUGAAAUGCGUAGAUAUCAAGAGGAACACCUGAGGUGAAGACGGGUUGCUGGGCUGACACUGACGCUGAGGCGCGAAAGCCAGGGGAGCAAACGGGAUUAGAUACCCCAGUAGUCCCUGAGCGGGC
Molecule: ribosomal RNA, 434 nt
Filed under: uncultured bacterium
Lineage: Bacteria
Description: bacterial SSU rRNA
Rfam family: Bacterial small subunit ribosomal RNA
Source: RNAcentral